UACGGAGGAUGCGAGCGUUAUCCGGAUUUAUUGGGUUUAAAGGGUGCGUAGGCGGACUGUUAAGUCAGCGGUAAAAUGUCGGGGCUCAACCCCGGCCGGCCGUUGAAACUGGCGUGCUCGAGUUGGAGAGAAGUAUGCGGAAUGCGUGGUGUAGCGGUGAAAUGCAUAGAUAUCACGCAGAACUCCGAUUGCGAAGGCAGCAUACCGGCGCCCAACUGACGCUGAAGCACGAAAGCGUGGGUAUCGAACAGG
Molecule: ribosomal RNA, 252 nt
Filed under: uncultured Bacteroidales bacterium
Lineage: Bacteria; Pseudomonadati; Bacteroidota; Bacteroidia; Bacteroidales
Description: partial 16S ribosomal RNA
Rfam family: Bacterial small subunit ribosomal RNA
Source: RNAcentral